RNAcentral lists this ribosomal RNA (253 nucleotides) under uncultured bacterium. Its description in RNAcentral is "partial 16S ribosomal RNA". It matches the Rfam family "Bacterial small subunit ribosomal RNA", at positions 524 to 776 of the family's 1533-position model. The record is from RNAcentral.
GACGUAGGGCGCGAGCGUUGUCCGGAUUUAUUGGGCGUAAAGAGCUCGUAGGCGGCUUGUCGCGUCGUCCGUGAAAACUUGGGGCUCAACCCCAAGCUUGCGGUCGAUACGGGCAGGCUCGAGUUCGGUAGGGGAGACUGGAAUUCCUGGUGUAGCGGUGAAAUGCGCAGAUAUCUGGAGGAACACCGGUGGCGAAGGCGGCAUCCUGGACCAUUACUGACACUGAAAAGCGAAAGCCAGGGGAGCAAACAGG